RNAcentral lists this small RNA (317 nucleotides) under Drosophila mojavensis. RNAcentral describes it as "GI27050". The record is from RNAcentral. Lineage: Eukaryota; Metazoa; Arthropoda; Insecta; Diptera; Drosophilidae.
GUCGCCGUUUGCCGGUUUCAUCAGUUAAGCGACGAUCGCGGCACGGUUAAGCAAAAUGUAAAUUGCAAAGCGUCGAUCGAAGUUUUUUGAACAAAUCCAGAAAUCGGAAACCAGCUCAGACACACACACACACACACACACACACAUACACAUAGUAACACUCACUUACAGAGGUGUAGGUCGGGCUUUUGUUUUAUUUGUAUGUGUUUCAAUGAAUAUUUCGCAUGGAAAUUGUUGCAAAUUGUUGACUAUGGUUGGCCAAAAUGAUGCGGCAACAGCAACAACAACAGCAGCAGCACAGCAGCAACAGCAGUUGC